AAUUGGCUCACUCUUCUUAAUGUGAAUUCUUAUGCAUUCUCUAGAUUUAUUUAUUCAUAGCUACUGAGACAGAAAGAGUAGGUAGAGGAAGGACAUUCGUACAUUUGGAUGCUUUCCUCAGAGCCCUUAGUUCAUGUAAACUGAGGAAUGCAUGACUUAUUCACAGAGAGGCAGUGGUCUAGUUCCAUAUGGGUGCUGUGUGCUUAUACAGAGCUCUCAGGGUAGGGAAAUAGGGCCCAUGAAAAUCAAGAGUUGCAUAACUGCACCAAAGCAACAGAACGAUACCCACCAGGAUUUGUCAAUUGAAAGAUCUUAAAAUGUAAAGAUGUUGAUUUGUCCUGCUGUCAUAAGGAAGUUGUGGCAAUUAAGUUGCCCACAUAGACAUUUAACCUCCCCUGAAGUUACUAAAUCUCAUGAUGAAUAAAUAAAGAUGCAUGAUGAAUUUUUAGAACUCUAUGGACUAAAGCUGAGUGACUGAUCUAAAACAUCAAUGUUUUUCAAUGACCAGAAAAUGUCCAUCAAAUCAGAGUGAUCAUUUGGAGUGAGAAGUGGCCUACUUUAGGUACCUUGUGGGCCUUUCUUUGCUGGCCUAUAAAACAUUGGAAAUUAAUUCCGGCUUCUCAAAAAUAUGACCAGUGACAAGAGUGGAAAACAGUCCUUUGGAGGGUAGGGAAGCUUUCCUCCAAAGAGCACUGAGCCCCACAGGGCACACCAAAAACUAGGUGACAUGGAACCUUGUGUUCAGAAGGGUCACACAGAUGGGAUGCUGUUGGCAAUGUUUUACAAAGGUGCAGAAUCAAAGUGGACCCAAGGCACAGCUACUGGGGAGAAU
RNAcentral lists this long non-coding RNA (832 nucleotides) under Marmota monax (woodchuck). Lineage: Eukaryota; Metazoa; Chordata; Mammalia; Rodentia; Sciuridae. The record is from RNAcentral.